GAUGAACGCUGGCGGCGUGCCUAAUACAUGCAAGUCGAGCGAACAGACGAGGAGCUUGCUCCUCUGACGUUAGCGGCGGACGGGUGAGUAACACGUGGAUAACCUACCUAUAAGACUGGGAUAACUUCGGGAAACCGGAGCUAAUACCGGAUAAUAUAUUGAACCGCAUGGUUCAAUAGUGAAAGACGGUUUUGCUGUCACUUAUAGAUGGAUCCGCGCCGCAUUAGCUAGUUGGUAAGGUAACGGCUUACCAAGGCAACGAUGCGUAGCCGGCCUGAGAGGGUGGACGGUCACACUGGGACUGAGACACGGCCCAGACUCCUACGGGAGGCAGCAGUGGGGAAUAUCGCACAAUGGGCGCAAGCCUGAUGCAGCGACGCCGCGUGAGGGAUGGAGGCCUUCGGGUUGUGAACCUCUUUCGCCAGUGAAGCAGGCCUGCCUCGUUUGCGGGUGGGUUGACGGUAGCUGGAUAAGAAGCGCCGGCUAACUACGU
RNAcentral lists this ribosomal RNA (493 nucleotides) under uncultured bacterium. Its description in RNAcentral is "partial 16S ribosomal RNA". It matches the Rfam family "Bacterial small subunit ribosomal RNA", at positions 28 to 506 of the family's 1533-position model. The record is from RNAcentral.